UCCCUGGUGGCUCAGUUGGUAAAGAAACUGCCUGCAAGGCAGGAGACCCAGGUUUGAUCCCUGGUUUGGGAA
This 72-nucleotide transfer RNA is filed under the name Bos taurus (domestic cattle). It matches the Rfam family "tRNA". Rfam says of the family: Transfer RNA (tRNA) molecules are approximately 80 nucleotides in length. Their secondary structure includes four short double-helical elements and three loops (D, anti-codon, and T loops). RNAcentral also lists the same sequence under 2 other names. The record is from Rfam by way of RNAcentral. Lineage: Eukaryota; Metazoa; Chordata; Mammalia; Artiodactyla; Bovidae.